GCUGGGCACGGUGGUGCACUCCUGUAAUCCCAGCAGCUUGGGAGGCUGAGGCAGGAGGAUUGCAAGUGCAAAGCCAGCCUCAG
RNAcentral lists this small RNA (83 nucleotides) under Marmota monax (woodchuck). The record is from RNAcentral. Lineage: Eukaryota; Metazoa; Chordata; Mammalia; Rodentia; Sciuridae.